CAAACGGUCCUUUACAGGACCACCAAAAAUUAUUCCUCAAGGAUUGU
This is a non-coding RNA of Aedes albopictus (Asian tiger mosquito), 47 nucleotides long. The record is from Rfam. NCBI's taxonomy places the organism in Eukaryota, Metazoa, Arthropoda, Insecta, Diptera, Culicidae.